UAAAUCAUACUUCAUAGGAUCAUUUCUUUAGUAUACUUUGUCAGAUCUCUCCUCUCUGUGCAGAUCGACAUCAGCAACAAUGAUGAAACUAGUCCGUCCAUAUCAAAUGU
This is a small nucleolar RNA of Melanaphis sacchari, 110 nucleotides long. RefSeq annotates it as small nucleolar RNA U3. Lineage: Eukaryota; Metazoa; Arthropoda; Insecta; Hemiptera; Aphididae. The record is from RefSeq and is a predicted model, not a curated record. The transcript has a single exon.